AUACAUAGCUUACUUCCCCCCCGAAGAACACAACAAAACCAGUUGGAAAAAUACCCGGGAGCUUUAGCUAACUAGCUAUCUUAUUAUUUAAAAAUUUCCCUCUAGUAGAUCAAUAACUAAUGAGGUAAAUAACUCAGUACUUUGACCAACCUAUAUCGACUGGUUGACCUCUGACCAAUUUUGUAUCUCGUGCGCUUUGCCCAUAAAGGUUUUCUGGUAUAUUUGCUGUAGCUAAUUUUUGAGAUGCCUUCAUUUUUACCUACGGUGGCCGAACAACUCUUCAAAGACAUACAGAAGACAUACCAAGAGAAAACUAAAAUUCCUGAUGACCUGCUUAUUGCGCUGAGGUUUGUGUUUGGCUCCUGUGCCCUCCAGGCCUUGGACCUGGUGGACCAGCGCUCUGUCACCUGUGUCUCAUCCCCCAGUGGACGGAGAGCAUAUCAGGUGAUUGGAGGGUCAGGGCUGCUGUACACCUGCUACACCUCCUGUCACUACUGCUCCUGCCCAGCCUUCGCCUACACUGUGCUCAGGAGGAACGAGAGUCUACUGUGCAAGCACAUCCUGGCCGCCUACCUCAGUCAGGCCAUGGGGCUGUCCCAGCAGGAGGCCCUGUCUGACCAGCAGAUGUCCAGCAUCCUUUCUGGGAGAGCAGCAAGAACUGACACGUAGAGCACCAGACCCCCAGGUCACUGAUCCAGACCUACAUGUAGAAGACCAGACCGCAGCUACAGACCCAGAGCACAGAGACGUAGAGCACAACCCAACAGGUCACUCAUCCAGACCUACAUGUAGAAGACCAGACCGCAGCUACAGACCCAGAGCACAGAGACGUAGAGCACAACCCAACAGGUCACUCAUCCAGACCUACAUGUAGAAGACCAGACCGCAGCUACAGACCCAGAGCACAGAGACGUAGAGCAUAACCCAACAGGUCACUGAUCCAGACCUACAUGUAGAAGACCAGACCGCAGCUACAGACCCAGAGCACAGAGACGUAGAGCACAACCCAACAGGUCACUCAUCCAGACCUACAUGUAGAAGACCAGACCGCAGCUACAGACCCAGAGCACAGAGACGUAGAGCACAACCCAACAGGUCACUCAUCCAGACCUACAUGUAGAAGACCAGACCGCAGCUACAGACCCAGAGCACAGAGACGUAGAGCACAACCCAACAGGUCACUCAUCCAGACCUACAUGUAGAAGACCAGACCGCAGCUACAGACCCAGAGCACAGAGACGUAGAGCACAACCCAACAGGUCACUCAUCCAGACCUACAUGUAGAAGACCAGACCGCAGCUACAGACCCAGAGCACAGAGACGUAGAGCACAACCCAACAGGUCACUCAUCCAGACCUACAUGUAGAAGACCAGACCGCAGCUACAGACCCAGAGCACAGAGACGUAGAGCACAACCCAACAGGUCACUGAUCCAGACUCAAAGCCACACAGCACCAUCUGAGACCAAGCUACUGCAGCACAUCCUGAGGAAAGAUGUUUAAAAGGCAAAGCUGCUGUAUAGUCUCCUCCAGUCUGUCUGCAUGUGUGAAGAUGACUUUUAUGGCUUUUAGGUCAUUGUGCUGUUCUUCUCGAACUCUGGUGUGGUUCCCCGCUUUCUGAAAAUCAAAAGACAACAGAUGUUGCUGUUUUUUGUGAGUGUUCGUGUUCUUAAUCUGUUGCCAGAGAAUAUGCAUCUGUUCAUUGACUGUAUUUUAAGACUCUCCUUUUAUAUGAAAAUGGUUGUUAUAUGUAGGUUGUGUAAACUCUUGUAAGAAUAUGAGUCUGACUUAUGAACAUUUUAUUUGUAUUUUUUAUUUAACCAGGCAAGUCAUACAUAGCUUUUAUUGACAAAAUAAUUCACCAUACAGAUUUUCUCAUGUUAAAUAGCAGUAUUGGUUUAGUUGUCAGUUGAGUGAAAUAAUAAUUCAGACAUUCUACUGCACUGUUGGAGCUACUAACAUAAGCAUUUCGCUGCACCUACUAUAACACCAGCAAAACUGUGUACACAACCAAUACACUUUGAUUUGAACCACAGUUAACUGUUUAGGCUACUGGUUAGCGACAUCAAUACUGUAACACAUUUGCAAACGCACAGGUUGGAAAACUACAUCAGCUUGUUCUUGUAUGGUUUUCUUCUUAAAUUGUAGGAAGGCUUCAUUCACAAGUCAGGCUUGUUGAAGGCUUUUACAACCCACUGUAUGUUGCAGGGUUGGGGCAAUUCCAUUUCAAUUCAAUCAACUCCGGAAGUAAACAAACGCCAAUUCCACAUUUUUCUCAGUAAGAAGCAUUUGGGGAAUUGGAAUUUGAGUUUACUGAAUUGUAAUGGAAUUGAACCCUUAUCUUGAUGCUAAGGUCACAUUUGAAUGAACACAUAAUAGUAAUACCAGUACAGUGCAGUCUCCAAUGGAAUGUACUUGAAGUUUGGCACACUCCUAUAGUUUAGCCCUUGAAGUUGUAGAGGUGAUGGUUGAUGUGUAUGGUGAAGAAAUGGAAAAACUAAGAAAUUAAACAAUGGAAAUACUGUA
RNA transcript from Oncorhynchus keta (chum salmon), 2525 nucleotides. It is a transcript of the gene named zinc finger SWIM domain-containing protein 7, with no coding region annotated. The transcript is spliced from 6 exons. The record is from RefSeq and is a predicted model, not a curated record. NCBI's taxonomy places the organism in Eukaryota, Metazoa, Chordata, Actinopteri, Salmoniformes, Salmonidae.